This is a small nuclear RNA of Colobus angolensis palliatus, 104 nucleotides long. NCBI's taxonomy places the organism in Eukaryota, Metazoa, Chordata, Mammalia, Primates, Cercopithecidae. The record is from Ensembl.
AUGCUCGCUUCGGCAGCACAUAUACUAAAAUUGGAACAAUACGGAAAUUAGCAUGGCUCCUGCACAAGGAUGACACACAAAUUUGUGAAGCAUUCCAUAUUUUU